This 217-nucleotide long non-coding RNA is filed under the name Cucumis sativus (cucumber). RNAcentral describes it as "long non-coding RNA (CSAT_LNC001899)". The record is from RNAcentral. Lineage: Eukaryota; Viridiplantae; Streptophyta; Magnoliopsida; Cucurbitales; Cucurbitaceae.
CACUCCACAAUUAAACUGGAUCAAGGUUAGAUAGAAUGGCUCGCAUACAUUCUAUCACAAAAAUUGCAAAUUAAGGAAAAUGUCUCAAAAUGAUAUUUCAAAUUGCAUUCAUCAAAAGUCUUCUUCUUACAAAUGGAAGGAUAAAGGCAUUAUAUAACAUUAACUAAGUAAUAAAAAUGGAUCUUCCUAGUAAAAAUAAAACAUUAACUAAGUUUUC